Molecule: microRNA, 24 nt
Filed under: Mesocestoides corti
Lineage: Eukaryota; Metazoa; Platyhelminthes; Cestoda; Cyclophyllidea; Mesocestoididae
Description: mco-miR-307-3p
Gene: mco-miR-307-3p
Source: miRBase by way of RNAcentral
CCUCGACUCGUAGGUUGGCAGAUG